GACGAACGCUGGCGGCGUGCUUAACACAUGCAAGUCGAACGGAAAGGCCCUGCUUUUGUGGGGUGCUCGAGUGGCGAACGGGUGAGUAACACGUGAGUAACCUGCCCUUGACUUUGGGAUAACUUCAGGAAACUGGGGCUAAUACCGGAUAGGAGCUCCUGCUGCAUGGUGGGGGUUGGAAAGUUUCGGCGGGUGGGGAUGGACUCGCGGCUAAGGCGCUUGUUGGUGGGGUAGUGGCUUACCAAGGUUUUGACGGGUAGCCGGCCUGAGAGUGUGACCGGCCACAUGGGCCUUGGGGAGGGGCCCAGGCGCCAACGGGGGGAAGCGGCGGGAAACUUUGCCCACGGGGCGGAAGGGGGAUGCAGCACCGCCGGGUGGGGGAGGACGGCCUUCGGGUAGGAAAACGCUUUGGCUUGUGACGAGGCGUGAGGGAGGGAAAUGGGUAAAAAAGCACGGGCAAACUAGGU
This 467-nucleotide ribosomal RNA is filed under the name uncultured bacterium. Its description in RNAcentral is "partial 16S ribosomal RNA". It matches the Rfam family "Bacterial small subunit ribosomal RNA", at positions 28 to 506 of the family's 1533-position model. The record is from RNAcentral.